GCCGGGCGUGGUGGCGCGUGCCUGUAAUCCCAGCUACUCGGGAGGCUGAGGCAGGAGAAUCAUUUGAACCAGGGAGUUGGUGGUUGCAGUGAGCCGAGCAUGCCACUGCACUCCAGCCUGGUGACAGAGUGAGACUCUGUCUCAA
Molecule: non-coding RNA, 145 nt
Organism: Gorilla gorilla gorilla (western lowland gorilla)
Lineage: Eukaryota; Metazoa; Chordata; Mammalia; Primates; Hominidae
Rfam family: Metazoan signal recognition particle RNA
About the family: The signal recognition particle (SRP) is a universally conserved ribonucleoprotein. It is involved in the co-translational targeting of proteins to membranes.
Source: Rfam